This 819-nucleotide ribosomal RNA is filed under the name uncultured bacterium. Its description in RNAcentral is "bacterial SSU rRNA". It matches the Rfam family "Bacterial small subunit ribosomal RNA", at positions 8 to 855 of the family's 1533-position model. The record is from RNAcentral.
AGAGUUUGAUCCUGGCUCAGGAUGAACGCUGGCGGCGUGCCUAACACAUGCAAGUCGAGCGAUUCUCUUCGGAGAAGAGCGGCGGACGGGUGAGUAACGCGUGGGUAACCUGCCCUGUACACACGGAUAACAUACCGAAAGGUAUGCUAAUACGAGAUAAUAUGCUUUUAUCGCAUGGUAGAAGUAUCAAAGCUUUUGCGGUACAGGAUGGACCCGCGUCUGAUUAGCUAGUUGGUAAGGUAACGGCUUACCAAGGCGACGAUCAGUAGCCGACCUGAGAGGGUGAUCGGCCACAUUGGAACUGAGACACGGUCCAAACUCCUACGGGAGGCAGCAGUGGGGAAUAUUGCACAAUGGGCGAAAGCCUGAUGCAGCAACGCCGCGUGAGCGAUGAAGGCCUUCGGGUCGUAAAGCUCUGUCCUCAAGGAAGAUAAUGACGGUACUUGAGGAGGAAGCCCCGGCUAACUACGUGCCAGCAGCCGCGGUAAUACGUAGGGGGCUAGCGUUAUCCGGAAUUACUGGGCGUAAAGGGUGCGUAGGUGGUUUCUUAAGUCAGAGGUGAAAGGCUACGGCUCAACCGUAGUAAGCCUUUGAAACUGGGAAACUUGAGUGCAGGAGAGGAGAGUGGAAUUCCUAGUGUAGCGGUGAAAUGCGUAGAUAUUAGGAGGAACACCAGUUGCGAAGGCGGCUCUCUGGACUGUAACUGACACUGAGGCACGAAAGCGUGGGGGAGCAAACAGGAUUAGAUACCCUGGUAGUCCACGCCGUAAACGAUGAGUACUAGCUGUCGGAGGUUACCCCCUUCGGUGGCGCAGCUAA